RNAcentral lists this ribosomal RNA (253 nucleotides) under uncultured bacterium. RNAcentral describes it as "partial 16S ribosomal RNA". It matches the Rfam family "Bacterial small subunit ribosomal RNA", at positions 524 to 776 of the family's 1533-position model. The record is from RNAcentral.
UACGAAGGGGGCUAGCGUUGCUCGGAAUCACUGGGCGUAAAGCGCACGUAGGCGGAUUGUUAAGUCAGGGGUGAAAUCCUGGAGCUCAACUCCAGAACUGCCUUUGAUACUGGCGAUCUCGAGUCCGGGAGAGGUGAGUGGAACUGCGAGUGUAGAGGUGAAAUUCGUAGAUAUUCGCAAGAACACCAGUGGCGAAGGCGGCUCACUGGCCCGGUACUGACGCCGAGGUGCGAAAGCGUGGGGAGCAAACAGG